AUGCUGUGCCCGGAAGCCUGGGGACAGCUGUUCCUAAUACGCCCUUUGCCCCUGCUGCCCCCUAAAACUACAGUAGGGCGCCAGUGACACGGUGUCCCCUUUCCCAGAAGUGGGCAAAAUUACACUUUGUGAACCCGUUAGGUUUGUGUCACAAGAGUGCUCUCCAAGGUAUUCGCCCAGAAGCCUCAGGUCAGUAAGAGUGAUGGAGAGCUCAGAAGGCGUGGCCUGACCCCCAUCUUACUGGAGCAGCUGUUUUGAUCCGCUUUAUAUCUGGGGGAUCUGAAAGAGGUUUGGGGGGAGGGAGUUCUGUUGUUAAAAAUAGAAUGUUUGUAAUACACUCCUGAAAUAUCAGAUUUGGCACAUCCAUACCCAAGAUGGGCUGAAAUGAAAUAGGUCUUCUAGAUCCUGAGACCCAGCAAGCUGGUUUUAUUCUUGAUGUUCUCUGCUUCCCUUCUCCGAACCGAUGUCUCCUUAUAACUCUUUCCAUGUGUGUUCAAAUCAGCAUCGUCCUCCCAGUAAUGGCUGUGAGAGGGAGAGCUAACGUUUUUCUAUUGUGUGACAGGUGAUGUGCUGGGUGUUUACUGGUCCCUCGGCAGCCCUUUGAGCAGACAGUCACUGUCCUCAGUUCAGCCGAAAACAGUGAAACAGAAACACAAGAGUUAUAACCAAAACAUCAGCAACCACCGCUUGCCCAGUGCUCGUAAGUGGCAGACCAGACCAUAGCCCAGAUGGGCUCAAGCACAGUCAAAUCAGCAUUGCUCAAAGCAGGCAAGGCACUCACAAAAGCAUAAAUAAAGCGAAAUGGAGACAGGAUCUUAGCAUUUUGCAAGGCCUCAGUGCAGAGUGGAAGCAAAGGAAAUCAAGAGACUUAAAUGCACCAGGAGCCAUUGCACGACAAGCUUCUUUCUCAUUUGUCUUCAUCAGAAGAAUUUCAAGAUCGAAACAUCGAAUCGACGCUCGCUGAUCACUGAUAGGAAGAUU
This 981-nucleotide long non-coding RNA is filed under the name Felis catus (domestic cat). RNAcentral's name for it is "lncRNA (ENSFCAG00000049060.1)". Lineage: Eukaryota; Metazoa; Chordata; Mammalia; Carnivora; Felidae. The record is from RNAcentral.